GAAGCUUGCUUCUUUGCUGACGAGUGGCGGACGGGUGAGUAAUGUCUGGGAAACUGCCUGAUGGAGGGGGAUAACUACUGGAAACGGUAGCUAAUACCGCAUAACGUCGCAAGACCAAAGAGGGGGACCUUCGGGCCUCUUGCCAUCGGAUGUGCCCAGAUGGGAUUAGCUAGUAGGUGGGGUAACGGCUCACCUAGGCGACGAUCCCUAGCUGGUCUGAGAGGAUGACCAGCCACACUGGAACUGAGACACGGUCCAGACUCCUACGGGAGGCAGCAGUGGGGAAUAUUGCACAAUGGGCGCAAGCCUGAUGCAGCCAUGCCGCGUGUAUGAAGAAGGCCUUCGGGUUGUAAAGUACUUUCGGCGGGGAGGAAGGGAGUAAAGUUAAUACCUUUGCUCAUUGACGUUACCCGCAGAAGAAGCACCGGCUAACUCCGUGCCAGCAGCCGCGGUAAUACGGAGGGUGCAAGCGUUAAUCGGAAUUACUGGGCGUAAAGCGCACGCAGGCGGUUUGUUAAGUCAGAUGUGAAAUCCCCGGGCUCAACCUGGGAACUGCAUCUGAUACUGGCAAGCUUGAGUCUCGUAGAGGGGGGUAGAAUUCCAGGUGUAGCGGUGAAAUGCGUAGAGAUCUGGAGGAAUACCGGUGGCGAAGGCGGCC
RNAcentral lists this ribosomal RNA (658 nucleotides) under uncultured Pseudomonadota bacterium. RNAcentral's name for it is "bacterial SSU rRNA". It matches the Rfam family "Bacterial small subunit ribosomal RNA", at positions 75 to 726 of the family's 1533-position model. Lineage: Bacteria; Pseudomonadati; Pseudomonadota. The record is from RNAcentral.